Molecule: microRNA precursor, 78 nt
Filed under: Capitella teleta
Lineage: Eukaryota; Metazoa; Annelida; Polychaeta; Capitellidae
Description: microRNA cte-mir-2712 precursor
Source: miRBase by way of RNAcentral
UGGUUUAGUGAGGACGUUGGACCGGCAGCCGGCGAGGUUUCCGAGCUGGCAAGUCGGGAAGACGUUCGAACUUGAUCA